This is a long non-coding RNA of Engraulis encrasicolus (European anchovy), 1119 nucleotides long. RefSeq lists it as uncharacterized. The record is from RefSeq and is a predicted model, not a curated record. The transcript has 3 exons. NCBI's taxonomy places the organism in Eukaryota, Metazoa, Chordata, Actinopteri, Clupeiformes, Engraulidae.
UUGUAGCAAAGUGGGCUUUGACGUUCCUUUUUCAUUUGCGGUGCGUGCGUCAUCACGUCACACCGACCUAUCAGCUGAUCUCACAGCUGAUUUCAUUCCAGCUGAGACGCCGGCUUUUCACAAGCUAGGAGGAAUAGCUGUCGGUCAACGUGCUUUCCUUUGUCCAUCCAAACGUGCAUUCUGGUCUACUCCUUGCACUCCGAUCUGUUGCCAAAUUCAACUUGGCGUGACACGCUCUCCGCCUCGUACAAGUGUAUCUACCGGUGCCAUCAGCUGUUUGUUGGCUACCCUGUUCAUCUACCAAAGCUCCGAGAGCUCUCUCCUUCUGGCUCAGGUAGGCCACCCAAAUGACGCCACACGUUCGCAAAAGUUUUGAUUUGUUUGACUCGGGUCUAACCGAUGAUGUAUUUUGUUGUAGCGUGGGUUUGAGUUUCCUCUGACUCGUCGGCCUUUAUUGUCUCCCUCCUCGCCUCCUCUGCUGUUGUGGAACGCGCCUGGGUGUAGCUGCAGACUCCCGGUUCGCUCUGAAUUGCUGCUGUUUUGUCCCCCCUCAAUACGUGCUUCGGACUGACGCGUCGCAGUGUCCGGUCAUCCGAGGGCUAUUACUCCGAAAGCAUUCAGCAGCCCAGCAUAAGUUACCUUGCGCAGGUGGCGCAUGUGGCCGAGUUCAGUGUGUGCGUGAAUGUAGUCUGUGUGCAGGUAAUCCCAGAGGGAGGUCCUCUUCCCCCCUGGUGGUGGGUCCGGUCACGUGGUGUGCAGUGAAUUGCAGUGCAGUGCAGUGUUACCUGUGUGUGAGUGCAAUAAUUCACCUUCACUUAGUGUGUGCAUGGGCACGAGUGUUUGUGUGUACUUAUCCAAGGCCUAUACAGGGGGCUUAGUAUAAUUCCCCCCUCUUGGGUACACCUGCCCUGUAUUUGAGAACCCUCCCUUUUGUACCGAUUUGUGUGAGUGUGUAUGUGAGUGUGAGUGUGUGUGUGCAUUGUGGUGGGAAAUAUUUUAAACUGUCCGGAUUUUUAUAUUUAUAUGUGAAAUUGUUAAUAAAGAGAUUAUUUUGUUACGGAAUCCACGUUUCCUCGUUAAUGCAACAGAACUUGUGUGGGGGUCAAAUCUAAGGUUUUC